RNAcentral lists this long non-coding RNA (1528 nucleotides) under Sander lucioperca (pikeperch). Its description in RNAcentral is "lncRNA (ENSSLUG00000007356.1)". Lineage: Eukaryota; Metazoa; Chordata; Actinopteri; Perciformes; Percidae. The record is from RNAcentral.
CGGUCACAGAUGUAGGCAGGCUGAGUGAGAGUGAUAUUGCCAACAUGGAUGACAUUGUUCAGUUGAUGGGUCCUGUCAAAAUGGCAACCACUGUGAUGUGUGAAGAAGACCAGCCAACUCUCUCUGUAAUUGCUCCUCUUCAAGCAAAACUGCUGAAACACCUGCAGCCAUGCGAAGACGACUCAACCCUGGUUGCAGAGAUGAAGAGGGUGAUGGCCGAUGACCUCUCCACACGCUACAGAGGCACCCAAGAUGCUCUCAACAUAGCAUCAGCGUUGGACCCUCGAUUUAAAGAACUGCCCUACCUGGAAAAAGAGGACAGAGAACAGGUUUACACAAAACUGGUUUUUGAGUUGCAGAAGUGUCCCACCAGGUAACUCUUCUCUCCUCUUUCCUCUGCCCUUUUUUCUCUUCUCCCCUUUCAUUUAUCCUCUCUCAAAUCUCAUCUGUUCUUUAUCUUCCUCUAAAUUUCUGUGUGCAGUCUUAAAGAGCAGAAAUUUGAACAGUUCACACAUUCUUACAUCAAUAGAUGCAAGCAACGGGAAAUCAGGAGGAAGACGAGGGAAGCUCAAGCACAAAGCUGUCACGAUUCAAUGAAGAGACCACAGCUCCAAAUGAGUCACCUCCUUGUAAGAAGAAAGCCUUAGAUGCACUGUUUGGCGAUUCCUUCACCCAAAGAGAAAGAAAAUCCACAAGCGAGACAGCCAGAGCAGAGGUGUUAAGGUACCGAGCAAAAGAUGCGUUGCCUUUGACUGAAAACACCAUGAAGUGGUGGAGAUCUCAGGAGAAAGAGCUACCUGUACUUUCAACCCUUGCUGAACGGUACCUGUGCAUUCCAGGCACCAGUGUGCCAGCAGAGCGAGUUUUUAGUACUGCUGGUGACAUAGUGAACGCACAGAGAAGUGUUCUGCGGCCAGAUCAUGUUGAUCAGUUGAUAUUUUUGAAAAAAAAUCUGUAGAGUCAUUGAAGAGUAGUUGGUUACACUUGAUCUUUUGUUGAAUAUUGUUUGUUUAUUAAAAUGAGUAGUAGCAGGUUCAGCCACGGCUCAUUCAACCUGAAGAAAUGUUGGUUGCACUUUAUUUUUGAUAUUAAUACUGUAUUUGUAUUAUUUUUAUGUUGAAAAACAACAGCAGAAGUAGCAGGUAAACCUACUGUUGAAAUGUUGGUUGCACUUACUGUACUUUUAUUGAAAAUGUAUUGAAUAUUGAAAAUGAGAGCAGAACAUUUUAACUUCCUGUUAAUUCAACCUAAAGUGUUGGUUGCACUUUAUUCAAAUAAAAUGUGAAUGCAUUUGCCAUUAAUUGUUGUUUACUUGUUUGUUUAUAUCCAUAAUUAAUUGAUACCUGAUUCCCUUACAAGAAACAACAGGAAUCUAGGAAACUUCACCUGCACUGUCCAGUAUCCAGGUAUUUAUUUCAGUCACACUGGUUGAAUUUUUGGCUAAAAAGUUACUGAAUCGAUUUCAAGUCACUGAAUCGUAUCGACAACCAUGAAUCGUGAUACGGAUCGAAUCGUUGUUAAAAUGAAU